RNAcentral lists this ribosomal RNA (161 nucleotides) under ascomycete sp. VTT D-041028. Its description in RNAcentral is "partial 18S ribosomal RNA". It matches the Rfam family "Eukaryotic small subunit ribosomal RNA", at positions 1673 to 1831 of the family's 1831-position model. Lineage: Eukaryota; Fungi; Ascomycota. The record is from RNAcentral.
CCGUCGCUACUACCGAUUGAAUGGCUCGGUGAGGCNUUCGGACUGGCCCAGGGAGGUCGGCAACGACCACCCAGGGCCGGAAAGUUGGUCAAACCCGGUCAUUUAGAGGAAGUAAAAGUCGUAACAAGGUCUCCGUAGGUGAACCUGCGGAGGGAUCAUUA